Non-coding RNA from Nelumbo nucifera (sacred lotus), 109 nucleotides. The record is from Rfam. Lineage: Eukaryota; Viridiplantae; Streptophyta; Magnoliopsida; Proteales; Nelumbonaceae.
CCUAUCAAUGCUAGUGAUUUGAUUCUCUAUAUUCUCACCGGUCUUGGAUCUGAAUAUGAAUAUGUUGUUAUCGCUAUUACUAAUAGGUCCAAUCUAGAGGACCUUGAUG